GGUCAAGCUACUAAGGGCGCACGGUGGAUGCCUUGGCAGAAGUAGGCGAUGAAGGACGUGGCAAGCUGCGAUAAGCCUCGGGGAGCCGCAAAUAGGCUUUGAUCCGGGGAUUUCCGAAUGGGGAAACCCUAUACGGUAAACCCGUAUAACGUCCCAAUGAAUACAUAGUUGGGAACGAGCAAACCCUGGGAAGUGAACCAUCUCAGUACCAGGAGGAAAAGAAAGAAACCUCGAUUCCGAUAGUAGUGGCGAGCGAAAUCGGAACAGCCCAAACCCAGUUCACCUUCGGGUGUAUUGGGGGUUGUAGGGCCCGCACCAGUAGAGUUACCAAUCCAGUUGUUAGCUGAAGACCUUUGGAAAAAGGUCCCAUAGAGCGUGAUAGGCGCGUAAGCGAAAACGAUCUGGACUCGAAGCGGGUACCUGAGUACCGCGGGGCACGUGAAACCCUGCGGGAAUCCACGGAGACCAUUCCGUAAGGCUAAAUACUAACUUCUGACCGAUAGUGAACCAGUACCGUGAGGGAAAGGUGAAAAGAACCCCUGUUAGGGGAGUGAAAUAGUACCUGAAACCGUGUGCCUACAAGCAGUGGGAGGACUAUGGUCGCAAGACAAUGUCUGACCGCGUGCCUAUUGCAUAAUGAGCCGGCUAGUUAUUCUUGUCAGCAAGGUUAAGCGUAAAGCGAGCCGUAGCGAAAGCGAGUCCUAACUGGGCGAAUAAGUUGGCAGGAAUAGACGCGAAGCGGGAUGAUCUACCCUUGGCCAGGUUGAAAGUGGGGUAACACCCACUGGAGGACCGAACCGGUGUUUGUUGAAAAAAGCUCGGAUGAGCUGAGGGUAGGGGUGAAAGGCUAAUCAAAUUCCGUGAUAGCUCGUUCUCUUCGAAAUAGCUUUAGGGCUAGCCUCGUGUGAUUUGCAGUGGUGGUAGAGAACUGAAUGGACUAGGGGGCUUUCCAGCUUACUGAAUCCAAUCAAACUUCGAAUGCCAUGGACAACCAACACGGGAGUCAGACGGCGGGGGCUAAGCUUCGUCGUCGAGAGGGAAACAGCCCAGACCAUCUGCUAAGGUCCCGAAAUUUCAGUUAAGUGGGAAAGGAUGUCGGAACGCCCAGACAGCCAGGAGGUUGGCUUAGAAGCAGCCAUCCUUUAAAGAAAGCGUAAUAGCUCACUGGUCAAGCGGUCCGGUGCCGAUAAUUCAACGGGGCUAAAACUGAAUACCGAAGCAAUGGAUGCAUGACUUAAGUCAUGCGUGGUAGAAGAGCAUUCUCUACAGUUUGAAGCGAGAUCGAAAGGACUCGUGGACGGUAGAGAAGAGACCCUGCCGGCAUAAGUAGCGAUAACGGAGGUGAGAACCCUCCGCGCCGAAAGUCUAAGGUUUCCUGAGGAAGGUUAAUCCGCUCAGGGUUAGUCGGUCCCUAAGGUGAGGCCGAAAGGCGUAACUGAUGGACAUCCGGUUAAUAUUCCGGAACUCCCAAAUAUUCGUUAUUACGAUGGGGUGACGCAGAAGGUUAAGCGCAGCCACCUAUGGCUAUGUGGUUCGAUACGUACAAGUCGGUUUCUGUAGGCAAAUCCGCAGAGACAUUAACGAUGAAACGUAAAGGAGUACCUCGUAUGAGGGAAACGCGCUGACAUCACGCUGCCAAGAAAAACCUCUAAGGAGAAUAUUGGGGAACCGUACCUCAAACCGACACAGGUAGACGAGGAGAAUAUCCAAAGGCGCUCGAGAGAAGGCUCGUUCAGGAACUCGGCAAAUUGACCCCGUAACUUCGGGAGAAGGGGUGCCCCGGUAGAGUGCAAGCUCGAGGGGGCCGCAGUGAAACGCGCACGGCGACUGUUUAACAAAAACACAGGUCUCUGCUAAGUCGAAAACGACGUAUAGGGGCUGACGCCUGCCCGGUGCCGGAAGGUUAAAAGGAGAGGUUAGUCGCAAGACGAAGCUUUGAAUUGAAGCCCCGGUGAACGGCGGCCGUAACUAUAACGGUCCUAAGGUAGCGAAAUUCCUUGUCGGGUAAGUUCCGACCUGCACGAAUGGCGUAACGAUCGUGCGACUGUCUUAACGAGCUACUCGGCGAACUUGUAGCACCGGUGAAGAUGCCGGUUGCCCGCACCUAGACGGAAAGACCCCGUGCACCUUUACUAUACCUUCACUAUGAACUAUGGCACUUGCUGCGCAGGAUAGGUGGGAGGCUUUGAUUCCAGGUUCUCGGACUUGGAGGAGCCAACGGUGAGAUACCACCCUGCGAGUUCUGUGGUUCUAACCUAUUCCCGUCAACCGGGAAAGGGACAUAGUGAGGCGGGUAGUUUGACUGGGGCGGUCGCCUCCUAAAUUGUAACGGAGGCGCGCGAAGCUACACUCAGGCUGUUUGGAAAUCAGCCGUCGAGUGCAAAGGCAUAAGUGUGGUUAACUGCGAGACCUACAAGUCGAGCAGAUGCGAAAGCAGGCCUUAGUGAUCCGGUGGUUCUGUAUGGAAGGGCCAUCGCUCAACGGAUAAAAGGUACGCCGGGGAUAACAGGCUGAUCGCUGCCAAGAGUUCAUAUCGACGCAGCGGUUUGGCACCUCGAUGUCGGCUCAUCGCAUCCUGGAGCUGUAGAAGGUUCCAAGGGUUAGGCUGUUCGCCUAUUAAAGCGGUACGUGAGCUGGGUUCAGAACGUCGCGAGACAGUUCGGUCCCUAUCUGGUGUGGGCGUAGGAGAUUUGAGAGGGCCUGUCCUUAGUACGAGAGGACCGGGAUGGACGAACCUCUUGUGUUCCAGCUGUCUUGCCAAAGGCACGGCUGGGUAGCGAAGUUCGGUUGUGAUAAACGCUGAAUGCAUAUAAGCGUGAAACACUCCUCAAGAUGAGAUCUCCCAACCCUAAGGGUGAAGAAGGGCACAGGAAGACCACCUGUUUGAUAGGCUGGAUGUGUAAAGUCAGUGAUGACAAAGCUUACCAGUACUAAUCGCCCGUUCGGCUUGACCAU
RNAcentral lists this ribosomal RNA (2955 nucleotides) under Candidatus Koribacter versatilis Ellin345. Its description in RNAcentral is "Bacterial large subunit ribosomal RNA". It matches the Rfam family "Bacterial large subunit ribosomal RNA". Lineage: Bacteria; Pseudomonadati; Acidobacteriota; Terriglobia; Terriglobales; Candidatus Korobacteraceae. The record is from Rfam by way of RNAcentral.